GAUGAAGAACGUAGCGAAAUGCGAUAAGUAGUGUGAAUUGCAGAAUUCAGUGAAUCAUCGAAUCUUUGAACGCACAUUGCGCCCCUUGGUAUCCCGAGGGGCAUGCCUGUUCGAGCGUCAUUUCACCACUCAAGCCUGGCUUGGUGUUGGGCGACGUCCCCUUUUGGGACGCGCCUCGAAACGCUCGGCGGCGUGGCACCGGCUUUAAGCGUAGCAGAAUCUUUCGCUUUGGAAGUCGGGGCCCCGUCUGCCGGAAGACCUACUCGCAAGGUUGACCUCGGAUCAGGCAGGGAUACCCGCUGAACUUAAGCAUAUCAAUAAGCGGAGGA
This 329-nucleotide unclassified non-coding RNA is filed under the name soil metagenome. RNAcentral describes it as "partial contains 5.8S ribosomal RNA, internal transcribed spacer 2, and large subunit ribosomal RNA". The stretch from base 1 to 120 matches the Rfam family "5.8S ribosomal RNA", at positions 35 to 154 of the family's 154-position model. The record is from RNAcentral.